AUAUGUUCACGAUGGUGAUUUA
Molecule: non-coding RNA, 22 nt
Filed under: Arabidopsis thaliana (thale cress)
Lineage: Eukaryota; Viridiplantae; Streptophyta; Magnoliopsida; Brassicales; Brassicaceae
Source: RNAcentral